UACAGAGACCCCAACCGUUACCCGGAUUCAUUGGGCGUAAAGCGUCCGCAGCCGGUGCUGAUAGUGGGAUGUUAAAUCCAGGGGCUCAACCCCUGGGCCGCAUUCCAAACGUCAACACUCGAGGGAUAGAGAGGUACAUGGAACUCAUGGUGGAGCAGUGAAAUGCGUUGAUAUCAUGGGGAACACCAAUGGCGAAGGCAGUGUACUGGUUAUCUCCUGACGGUCAGGGACGACAGCGUGGGGAGCGAACGGG
Molecule: ribosomal RNA, 253 nt
Filed under: uncultured prokaryote
Description: partial 16S ribosomal RNA
Rfam family: Bacterial small subunit ribosomal RNA
Source: RNAcentral